This 66-nucleotide transfer RNA is filed under the name Acanthopleura loochooana. RNAcentral describes it as "tRNA-Gly". The record is from RNAcentral. Lineage: Eukaryota; Metazoa; Mollusca; Polyplacophora; Chitonida; Chitonidae.
AUCUCUCUAGUAUAAAUAGUACAACUAUUUUCCACAUAGUAAGAUUAAUUGAAAUUAAGAGUGAUA